Molecule: ribosomal RNA, 443 nt
Filed under: uncultured bacterium
Lineage: Bacteria
Description: partial 16S ribosomal RNA
Rfam family: Bacterial small subunit ribosomal RNA
Source: RNAcentral
CCUACGGGAGGCAGCAGUGGGGAAUAUUGGGCAAUGGGCGCAAGCCUGACCCAGCAACGCCGCGUGAAGGAAGAAGGCUUUCGGGUUGUAAACUUCUUUUGUCAGGGACGAAGCAAGUGACGGUACCUGAUGAAUAAGCCACGGCUAACUACGUGCCAGCAGCCGCGGUAAUACGUAGGUGGCAAGCGUUAUCCGGAUUUACUGGGUGUAAAGGGCGUGUAGGCGGGACUGCAAGUCAGAUGUGAAAACCACGGGCUCAACCUGUGGCCUGCAUUUGAAACUGUAGUUCUUGAGUACGGGAGAGGCAGACGGAAGUCCUAGUGUAGCGGUGAAAUGCGUAGAUAUUAGGAGGAACACCAGUGGCGAAGGCGGUCUGCUGGACAGCAACUGACGCUGAGGCGCGAAAGCGUGGGGAGCAAACAGGAUUAGAUACCCCAGUAGUC